UACGUAGGGGGCAAGCGUUGUCCGGAAUUAUUGGGCGUAAAGCGCGCGCAGGCGGUCAAUUAAGUUGGGUGUUUAAGCCCGGGGCUCAACCCCGGUUCGCAUCCAAAACUGGUUGACUUGAGUGUAGGAGAGGAAAGUGGAAUUCCACGUGUAGCGGUGAAAUGCGUAGAGAUGUGGAGGAACACCAGUGGCGAAGGCGACUUUCUGGCCUAUAACUGACGCUGAGGCGCGAAAGCGUGGGGAGCGAACAGG
RNAcentral lists this ribosomal RNA (252 nucleotides) under uncultured bacterium. RNAcentral's name for it is "partial 16S ribosomal RNA". It matches the Rfam family "Bacterial small subunit ribosomal RNA", at positions 524 to 776 of the family's 1533-position model. The record is from RNAcentral.